Molecule: ribosomal RNA, 253 nt
Filed under: uncultured bacterium
Lineage: Bacteria
Description: partial 16S ribosomal RNA
Rfam family: Bacterial small subunit ribosomal RNA
Source: RNAcentral
UACGUAGGGGGCUAGCGUUGUCCGGAAUCAUUGGGCGUAAAGCGCGCGUAGGCGGUCAGGUAAGUCCGGUGUGAAAGUCAAAGGCUCAACCUUUGAAUGCCGCUGGAUACUGCCUGACUUGAGUCCGGAAGGGGCGAGUGGAAUUCCCGGUGUAGCGGUGAAAUGCGCAGAUAUCGGGAAGAACACCCGUGGCGAAGGCGGCUCUCUGGGACGGUACUGACGCUGAGACGCGAAAGCGUGGGGAGCGAACAGG